CCCUUAGAUGUUCUGGGCCGCACGCGUGCUACACUGAGUGGAUCAGCGGGUCAGGUUGCGCGAAAGCGUUUCCUAAUCUUUAAAUCCGCUCGUGAUGGGGAUUGACGGUUGCAAUUUUCUGUCAUGAACGAGGAAUACCUUGUAAGCGCGGGUCAUCAUCCCGCGCUGAAUACGUCCCUGCCCUUUGUACACACCGCCCGUCGCUCCUACCGAUUGAGUGGUCCGGUGAGGCUUUGGGAUCUGAGCGGAAAGAGCGUUUCGCUGUUUCUGCUCGGAAAACUCAGUCGAACCUUAUCAUUUAGAGGAAGGAGAAGUCGUANCA
This 322-nucleotide ribosomal RNA is filed under the name uncultured eukaryote. RNAcentral's name for it is "partial 18S ribosomal RNA". It matches the Rfam family "Eukaryotic small subunit ribosomal RNA", at positions 1470 to 1796 of the family's 1831-position model. The record is from RNAcentral.